Molecule: ribosomal RNA, 467 nt
Filed under: uncultured bacterium
Lineage: Bacteria
Description: partial 16S ribosomal RNA
Rfam family: Bacterial small subunit ribosomal RNA
Source: RNAcentral
GACGAACGCUGGCGGCGUGCUUAACACAUGCAAGUCGAACGGAAAGGCCUCUUUCGGGGGGUACUCGAGUGGCGAACGGGUGAGUAACACGUGAGUAACCUGCCCUUGACUUUGGGAUAACUUCAGGAAACUGGGGCUAAUACCGGAUAGGAGCCCCUGCUGCAUGGUGGGGGUUGGAAAGUUUCGGCGGUUGGGGAUGGACUCGCGGCUUAUCAGCUUGUUGGUGGGGUAGUGGCUUACCAAGGCUUUGACGGGUAGCCGGCCUGAGAGGGUGACCGGCCACAUUGGGACUGAGAUACGGCCCAGACUCCUACGGGAGGCAGCAGUGGGGAAUAUUGCACAAUGGGUGGAAGCCUGAUGCAGCAACGCCGUGUGCGGGAUGACGGCCUUCGGGUUGUAAACCGCUUUCGCUCAUGACGAAGCUUUGUGUGACGGUAGUGGGUAAAGAAGCACCGGCUAACUACGUG